Molecule: ribosomal RNA, 253 nt
Filed under: uncultured bacterium
Lineage: Bacteria
Description: partial 16S ribosomal RNA
Rfam family: Bacterial small subunit ribosomal RNA
Source: RNAcentral
UACGAAGGGGGCUAGCGUUGCUCGGAUUCACUGGGCGUAAAGGGCGCGUAGGCGGACAGUUAAGUUGGGGGUGAAAGCCCGGGGCUCAACCUCGGAACUGCCUUCAAUACUGGCUGUCUUGAGUGUGAGAGAGGUGAGUGGAACUCCGAGUGUAGAGGUGAAAUUCGUAGAUAUUCGGAAGAACACCAGUGGCGAAGGCGACACACUGGCUCACUACUGACGCUGAGGCGCGAAAGCGUGGGGAGCAAACAGG